CCCGCGGAGCCCGCGUCCCGGGCAGGGCUGACCUGCGGCUGAGAGAGGCAAGUGAUGCUUCCGAAACUCCAAGCAGCAGACAUAGCCGUGGUCCUGGAGUUGUAACAGUGAACAGAAGGACAUUUGCGCCCUCGUGGAGAUGACAUGCUAAAGCGGCAAAGGGAAAGAAGGUGCUGUUGACAUAUAAUAAAUAGGAAAUUAUCCUUAUCUGCCCAUUGACAAAAACUGGAGAGCAGCCUGUCCAAUGAAAUUAUAAGUCACAUAUAAAAUUUUAAAUGGAAUUAUGUGUAUGUAAAUGACAGCAACGCAAUGCAACUUGACUGAAAUGAUGAAUAAAGCAAGAAAGACUGAGUCAUGCUUCCAAGGUCACACAGCAGUGUUAGAACCGGAAUGUGGUUUGGCACUUUCCACUUGGCAGUCCUCCCGACCCAGUGAUCACACACCCACCAAGGGCCUGUGGGCAGCAGCUCCCUCAAGAAGCUGAGUCUUCUGCAAAACAGUCCUUAGACCUCAACAUCUGACAUCAUGUUUCUGUGCUUACGAAUCAUCUGCUUCUACCAUUAGAAUUCAAGUUCCACGAGGGCAAGGGUUUUGUUUUGUUUUUUUUAUUUUUGUCCAGUUUUGUUUACAAGAUACAUCCAAGGCACCUGGAAGAGUAGCAAUGCCUCA
Long non-coding RNA from Talpa occidentalis (Iberian mole), 669 nucleotides. RefSeq lists it as uncharacterized. The transcript has 5 exons. Lineage: Eukaryota; Metazoa; Chordata; Mammalia; Eulipotyphla; Talpidae. The record is from RefSeq and is a predicted model, not a curated record.